RNAcentral lists this ribosomal RNA (436 nucleotides) under uncultured bacterium. RNAcentral's name for it is "bacterial SSU rRNA". It matches the Rfam family "Bacterial small subunit ribosomal RNA", at positions 28 to 505 of the family's 1533-position model. The record is from RNAcentral.
GAUGAACGCUGGCGGGGGGCCUAACACAUGCAAGUCGAGCGGUAACACUUCGGGUGACGAGCGGCGAACGGCUGAGUAACACGUUGGUACCUGCCCUAAACUCAGGGAUAACCAUUGGAAACGAUGGCUAAUACCGGAUAGCUCGCAAGAGUAAAGAUUUAUCGGUUUAGGAGGGGCCUGCGGCGUAUCAGAUAGUUGGUAGGGUAAUGGCCUACCAAGUCAAUGACGCGUAGCUGGUGUAAGAGCAUGACCAGCCAGAGUGGGACUGAGACACGGCCCACACUCCUACGGGAGGCAGCAGUGAGGAAUCUUCCGCAAUGGGCGAAAGCCUGACGGAGCCACCCCGCGUGCAGGAUGACACCCUUCGGGGCGUAAACUGCUUUUCUGAGGGAAGAAGAUCUGACGGUACCUCAGGAAUAAGCAACGGCUAAUUUCG